CACGUAAGGUGCGAGCGUUGUCCGGAAUUAUUGGGCGUAAAGAGCUCGUAGGCGGUGUGUCACGUCGGCCGUGAAAACCUGCAGCUUAACUGUGGGCGUGCGGUCGAUACGGGCAUCACUGGAGUUCGGCAGGGGAGACUGGAAUUCCUGGUGUAGCGGUGAAAUGCGCAGAUAUCAGGAGGAACACCGGUGGCGAAGGCGGGUCUCUGGGCCGAUACUGACGCUGAGGAGCGAAAGCGUGGGGAGCAAACAGG
RNAcentral lists this ribosomal RNA (254 nucleotides) under uncultured bacterium. RNAcentral describes it as "partial 16S ribosomal RNA". It matches the Rfam family "Bacterial small subunit ribosomal RNA", at positions 524 to 776 of the family's 1533-position model. The record is from RNAcentral.